RNA transcript from Etheostoma cragini (Arkansas darter), 3430 nucleotides. It is a transcript of the gene named alkaline ceramidase 3, with no coding region annotated. NCBI's taxonomy places the organism in Eukaryota, Metazoa, Chordata, Actinopteri, Perciformes, Percidae. The transcript has 12 exons. The record is from RefSeq and is a predicted model, not a curated record.
UGUUUAGCUAGAGUAACAACGGUUGCUGCAGUCUCACUGGAGUUUCUUCCCAUCGCUCGUGAGGAGGAGGGCUCGUGUGAGGACUGCUCGUGCUGUGAUGGGACUACAAAUCCGUUAGUACAAGCAGCCUCCUCCUCUUCCAUCAUGGCUCCCUCGGCAGACAGGCAGGGAUACUGGGGGCGGCCGACCUCAACGCUGGACUGGUGCGAAGAAAAUUAUGUUGCUUCUUUUUACAUUGCGGAAUUUUGGAACACUGUCAGCAACUUGAUUAUGAUUGUUCCUCCUAUUUUUGGGGCCAUCCAGACGUUUCGAGACGGCCUUGAGUUUCGCUACGUCUGCUCUUUCCUCGGACUGGCAGCUGUUGGUGUUGGUUCUUGGUGCUUCCACAUGACGCUGCUAUAUGAAAUGCAGUUACUGGACGAGUUGCCAAUGAUUUACAGUACAUGCAUCUUUGUCUACUGUCUAUAUGAAUGUUUUAAACAAGAGAAGACCAUCAGUUUAUUUCUGAUUGCAUUGUUAUUGAUCUUCAGUGUCUCAGUCACUGUGGUAUACCUACAGUGGAAGGAGCCAGUCUUUCAUCAGGUGCUGAAUCACCAAGCAGACGGCAAAGAACUAGUGGCAGUGAAGGCCAACUGUGGCGUCGCCUCACAUCGCUUGUGUCUUGGCCAAAAAGUUGCACUUGAACACACCACACAGACUACAGCCGGCAACCAUCUACCACGUCAUGUAUGGUGCUCUAGUAGGUUGCCUAGUGAUGCGAUCUGUCUUCAUCGUUACAUGGGUGUACCCAUGGCUCCGACCGCUGUGUUACGCCUCCUUAGGAAUCUUUUUGCUUGGGUUCCUACUGUGGAACAUUGACAAUAUUUUCUGUGACACAUUAAGAGCCAGUAGACAAACGCUGCCCUCUGGUGUUGGAGUAGUAACACAGUUCCAUGCCUGGUGGCAUAUCUUCACAGGCCUUGGCUCCUACCUGCAUAUACUUCUUAGCCUGCAGAUUAGGUCAACCUACCUCAAGUACAGACCAAAUGUAAAGUUUCUUUGUGGAGUUUGGCCUACAUUGCACAUCGAACCACAGAAGACGAGUUGAAAUGAAGGGAUGGAGACCAACUGAAGGAUGGGGACGGCCAUAUCCAGACACCAUCGGCAAAGGGACCUGCCAAUACCCACUGCUGCACAAUCAGCCCACAGCUAGGGCACAGGUGCACCCAAAGGCACCCUGGGGUGGAACGUUUGGUUCUGCACUGUGGGCAUUUACUAAACAGUAUAGCACUGAAUCCAGUUUGGAGAAAUGGAAGAUUUUCUUUUCAUGAGUCAUAAUUUAUUAGCCUAGCUUUUCUGUAAUGUUAUUGAAGUGUAAUGAUUUUAUUUGCUCAUUCAUUUUUAAUGCAAAUAUGUUGUUGUCCACUGCAGCUGUAAAUACUGACCGGGUAUGGGUGUCAUCUUAAUUAGGGUUUGGGAAAAGGGAAAGUAAUUAUUCACAAGUUCCCAUUAGCAUUUUAAUUGUAUGUUUCAUUCUGUGGAUAUUAGAAUCUCCUAAGCCUAAAGAUAUUUGAAUAUAUCCCUAAACUUAAGUAUAACUAAGACUGUAGCUUACAAUACUUAAAACACAGUAUUGUCAUAUCCCUUUUUAAAUAGUAUUGUAUUGUUUCUACAUAUGGGAGAAACUGGCUCUGUUAUUGUAGCUUAGCUGUCUUGACUAGAAGAUCCGUGUUCAUUUCCUUGUGCCACAGGCUGCAUGUUUACUUGAAAUCUUAAAACAUGCAACAACUGGAAUUAUUAAUUUAUUUUUCUAUCAGUGCCAAAGUUGUUCUGGGAUUUUAGAAAGUAAUGUAAUGUGUGAAACAUGAUGCUGUUUUACCUCGUCAUAAUCAAGCAAGAGAUGCAAUGGUCAUAAUUUUGCUUUUAUUAUUGCACCCAAUUAAAAUUUUGUUUAGGACAAGGUUAACAUUUUUCCAGCAAAGCAAGUUAAACCACUUUUGAAAGCUCGAGUUUCUGUGGACAGAAACACUUGGACAGUCUUUAAAGCGAUACUGAGCGUGUGCUCUGUGAAGGUCUAAACUUUUGCAACCACAGCUAAAACCUCCACCGGAGUGUGUUAUGUUAAGGAACCCAUAUGUUGGGGUGGGGGGGCGACCAGCAACUGGAGGCUCUGAUCAGGCACAAAUUAUCACUGGAAUUGCAACGGACCAACUUGCUACUGAUGUUUGCGCAAGCUUGACGGGUUUUCUAUUUGUAAUUUUUAACAUUCACUCCAAGAACCAAGUGAAUAAAUGGAAAAUGACUGAAUAAUGUCAUGCUCAUUAGCUGUAGUUUAUGGGGACAAGACACAGCCAAUUCUUUUCUUCCUGCUGCAUCAUUGCAUUAAACCUCCACCUGUUGUCAGUUGAUAACAGUUUUAGUAGUGUGCCCUCCCUUAAUAGAAAUACGCUUAUACAGCCAAGAGUAAACUGUCUUUAUCCACUGAUACUGAACCCACUAUGCUACUACAUUUUAUUCAUCCCACUCCCAUUUGGUCAAAUGACACCUGUAGUGAAUAUCUUUGAGAAACAGUGUAUGAAACAACCACUAGGUGGCAUACAUUUCCAUCUUGGCAGACAUUGCCAAACAUGGCGUUGUGGAUGGAGGAACUACUAGCUACCUUCUGUAGAAAUCUUAGGGUCUUUGAAUCAAUUCCCAUGUACUGGAUCUGUGGUGUCAAAUGAAAGGCUUUUUCUUUUCAAUUAGUUUUUUGCUGCUAUAAAUUUGUGGAUAUGUAAUGGUAACAAAAGAACCCGGAACUUGACAUAACUGUUGAAGAUGGUUGUAUGACAAUAUGUCUGUGGCCUCCUGAACUGCUGUGGGCUGCAUUAUCCCCUGAAACAACCCAUUACUCAUCCAUAGUUCAUUAUACAUACACACUAACUCUCAUAUUGGGUAUUUCAAUUGUAUGAGCCCAGUAUUACACACAUUCAUAAGCACAAUGUAUAGAAGAUAAGUGUUAACAUUGUUCAAAUGUCUGUGAAAUCUGUUGUUUUCUUGACAUCUCUGCUCAUCAGUAGAGGGGAGCAGUUGUCUAAGAGGGUGCCUUAGUGUUAUCCUUGCGGUCCGAGUUAUCCAAGUUGCCUUGAUGUCCGUGAUAAACAAAACCAUUCCCAACUGUCCCUUGUGUUGUGCAGGCUGGUUCUAGGCAGUCAACGCAUCAGGGCACACAAGAUUGGAUUCUAUUGCAAAGUCUGCGCCUGAAUCUUUGGCCUUCCAUUCAUUUAAUGAGUCCAACAUUUUAUUUACAGGCUGAUCAUAACUGCAACUGUAGCUUUCACUAAAAAACAAAAACAAAACAUUAAUGUGUUGAGGCCAGAAGAGAAAACUGUUAUCAUUUCUUUUGAACUUUGUUCAAGUGCCAGUCUUUAUUGAUGUCCUGUAUUAUAAAAUAAAAGAACGUGUUAAUCUA